GGGUCAGUAGGUUGGUCGUGCCACCGGUACGUACUGGUCUCACUGAUUCCUCCUUCCUGAAGAACCGUAAUGCCAUUAAUUUGGUGUUGCGGGGAAACAGGACUGUUACUAUGCAAAAAUUAGAGUGUUUAAAGCAAGCUAACGCUUGAAUACAUUAGCAAGGAAUAAUGAAAUAGGACGAUCGAUCCUAUUUUGUUGGUUUCUAGGAUUGACGUA
Molecule: ribosomal RNA, 216 nt
Filed under: Glomeromycotina sp.
Lineage: Eukaryota; Fungi; Glomeromycota
Description: partial small subunit ribosomal RNA
Rfam family: Eukaryotic small subunit ribosomal RNA (bases 40-216)
Source: RNAcentral